CUGGAAAUCAUUUGAUUUUAUAUUAGAAAAUCAUGCUUAUCCAGCAAUAUUUGUCUUUAGUAUCACUUAAACAGGUUUAAAAUUAAUUCCUCACCUUCUGAUAGCAUUGUAUUGUGUUUAUAAGAUCCAUCUACACAAUCUACAUUAAGCUUGACAUACAAGUUAUUUUUAAAAAAUGCUGAGAUGUGAGCUUGAAAAAAGACAAAGAAUGUGUUUUUUCACAACAGGAAAUCUAGUUGUGAUAAUAAUCACAUCUUAGCUAUAAUAAAUAUGCAGUGUUGCUGACACAAAUAGGCUUACCGAGUAAUUAGAUUUUUUUUUCCUUUCUUUUUUUUUUCUCAUUUUCAGUUUGUUGUUUGAUUCUUGGUUAAAUAUUGAGAGGCACAGAAGACUCGGUCACACAAAAAACACUGAUGUUUGCAGUAGGCCUGUAAAAAUCAAUCAAAGAAAGCUGAGUAAUUUUCAAAUAAAUACUUUAAACAGUUACAACUUUCACUUUCUUAUAUGACAUUUGCAGCUAGCUUUCACCCACUGGUUAGUUUUAAGGACUAAAAACAAUUUUUUAGGGGGACACGAUUGUGGCUGUGGGUUAAAAUACACUGCUCCACAGAGGUAACCCUUCAAGUUGAAACAUGCCAAGUUGGGAGGAAAAGUGAUGUCUAAUGCCAACUUUAUGGUUUAUGCACUAGGACACCUUGUUCCCUAUAGGACAAUAGAUUUGUUAAAAUCAGAUUAUUUUAUUCCUCGGAAAUGAAAAUGACCGAUUACAUGUACAUUUUCAGACCAGGUAUGGUAAUUAAGCAGUAUAAAGUCCAUGUCGAAUGUAAUAUGUGGUGCUCCAGUGGGUCAGGCAGAAGGCUUUUAUCUGGGAGAGUGGGGUUAGGGUCCUGUGUGAAGCCAAAAGCAGCACCGAAUUACAUUUGCCAAGUAUCAAACACCUGAGUAUCCAUGCACUGAAGGAAAAAGAGGAAAAUGGCUUUUUUUCUCACCUUUUCUGCUCACUGCAGCUUUAAAUUGUCAGUUGUGGGGGGAUAUUAUCAUUAUAUCCACCACAGAAGUAUAAUUACUCUUAUUUAAGUUAGAAUCAAAGUUAAUGAGCUGAUUACAGCCUUAGAUGCUCAUGUGGGGCCACUCUGGCUGUUCCCAGGCUGAGGUUUAAAUCUGAAGGUUGUUGUGUUUUCGCCAUCUUAGAUUCUGACUCCGGAACAACCUUCCUGAGGAGAUGAGAGGGCAGACAGAGGAUACCUGCGUGCAGCUCAUAGGAUUGAUUUCGUUGGCAGAGAAGCAAACAGGUGGGUUUUGCUUCUGUCUCUUUACACAGUAACAUCCUUGUCCUCUUUCUGGAGUGCAUGGGGCCCCAGCUCCUGGUGACAGAGGGGCCUCCUGUUUGGAAACCUUUGAUCGCUGAUUGUGAGCACAUUUCUUCAGUGACAACACACACUCAUUAGACCUGCAGAGGACCAGAUGAGACUUUCAGUUUUACAGACACAUGAUAUGCUAGACCGAGGCAGUAGAAUUAAUUAGUAGAUUCAUUAAGAACAGUUUUUAGUGUAUCUACAACUAAAUGAUCUCAUUAAAAAUAUAAAUGCAAGAUUACAUUCUGUCCUCCUUUUUCAUACUGCUCUAGAAAGACGAUAAAUUUAACACUUCCUGCAUCAUGACUAGAUUAUUUUUCUCUUCUUUCAGCUGCUGAUAGUCUUCCCUAUAUUGGUUUUAAUAAUCUUAUCAAGUAAGAUGUUUCAGAAAUUGGAAUUUAAAUGACCACCAUAUCUUGCGUGUGGAUGUGGACUUUGUCCAAGUAUCACUAUCAUUCCCGUCAACCUUUCUCAAGACAAAUUCCUGGUAGAUCUGACAGAGCUGAAGCUCGUCUCAGUUCUCAGCAGUGUAAGGAGCUUAGCCCUCUAAGAAUGUCUGUUGCAGAUUUACUCUGCCUGUCCUUCACUUCUGAACAGGUACUCAGGUAAUGUGCAGCCCAGUAUCAGGUCAGGCCGGGUUCAUGGAUAAAGCUUACAGGAAGUUUGACGGGGGGGAAAAGAAGCACCUCGAUGCUUCCUGUCAUCAACAAAAACGAAAUCCUAAUCUGACUUUGUACUCUGAAAGCUAAAGCCACUGAUGACUGGUUCCUUAAAUGCCUAAAUUAAAAACAUUCACUCAGCCACAUCAGUUUUUCUUCUCCACUAAACAUAUUUCUGGAAGCACUGUAGGCCUGCAUCUUUCUGGAGCCUGCAUCCUUAUCACACCACUGGUAUCCGUCAGCAAAAAGUUUGCUCAACUGUCCUGCAAGCAAAGCAGUUUCUAUGAUUUCCUUCAUAGAGCUGUAAGAACCUUUUACCGAUUAAUGUUCAGUCUUGACCUUAUGUCAAUGGAAAAUUGUACUUAGUAGUCAGUAUAAGCUUUUAAUGAUAUAUGUUUGCAUAUGAUAGAAUACUGUAUGUUGACCUUUUGAUGACUUAGACUGUUGUCCACUACAAGACUGUUUUAUAAAUUCUUUCUCACAGCGAUAAUAGCUGAACAAGCAGGAAGAGGACAGCUGGAUACUUUUAUCUGCGCUCCCUAACAAGAAGAAGGGCUGCGUCCUUCUGAAUCUCACAACACACACACAUACACCUCAACCACUCUUAUCUUCACUCCCUACGCACUAACAUUCCGGAACGGAAUGUUCCAGUAAGAUAGCCACAUACUGUUAUAUAGUCAUUUUUCUGAGAAGAGCAAAAAUACGCCGCCCUGUUGUGUGGGCACCAGUGACUAUAAAUGCACGAAUAAAGAAGUACACUGUGUGACUCUCUCUCGAGACGUUCACCCAUGUACAUGUGAUUUAUUACGCUGUCUCAUUGUGUUCUGUUUAUAUUUGCAGUUUGCCAUUUGGGAUUUUCCCUUAACACCUUACAAAAAUCCCAACUCAAGAUCCAGUUCCCAAUGUUCAUCCAGAGUUCGAGUGUAUCACAGAGAGCGAGUGAUACAGGUCACAAUCAUCUGCAAUGAUGGAUCAUUAGAUAACAAGCAUUAUCAUAUAAUUUAAUACAAAACUUUUGGUAAGAUGCUGGAUUUGGGUAAGUAAAACAAGCUUGCGCAUACUCACAGUGAACUUUAAAACAUAGUUUCAGACUUGAAGUUGAAUAAUUCUGAUUCUCAGUCAUGAACUUGAGUUAAACAACAAAUAAUUUGAGGUUUGAAAGUGAACUUUUUCCAAAUAAAUUUGACUUUGAAAUCAUAAAUAUGAGAAUACCCUCAAAAACAACCCAGAAUGCUUUAGCUCUGCAUGUAGUUACAAUAAAACAGCACACAUAAGAAACAAACUUUAUUACUCAAAAUGGGCAAGUUCAUACAAUAUCAAGGUAGGAAUUAAAUAUGGAACCAAACUGAGGAAACAAAGCAGGCAGUGUACUGGACCAUCGCAGCUUGCAUAAGAGCACUUCUACAGUGCUUCUAUAUCCAUUAACCCAGUUAAGCUCAGGUGUGCUUAGCUGGGCCUAGUUGAGGUUCGGUCAGAUCUCCACUGCACACCUGGAACAUCAGCACCAACUCAGUGUACAGUGAAGACUGAACCAGCUCCAUCAGGCAGCUCCAAAAAUAGAUCGUCCUUAUUACAAUAAAGAAAUGUUUCUCCAAAAUACAAUCAAACAGAUGCUGAUACAUGUAAACACUAUAUACACCUUCUGUUUAAAAAAAAAGGAAAAAAAAAGAUUUCUUUGCCAAAAUAACAUUAAAUAUAUCACUGUUAAGUAUUUUACAACCAAAAAAGUACUUGUUUUUACAUCCCCAAAUAAAAGAAGUGAUGGGCAGAGUGCGUCAGAAAGUGGAACGUGAACACAAGUGACCUGAGUUUUUAAUCUGAUGAUUAUAAAAUAAUUAGUGUGAGUGAAGGGUUUGUCUAACUCUGCCAUUUUUGAUUAGCUGCUGUGAAAUACCUCAAUCAAAAUGCUAAGAUCAACUUUGUAAACAUGGAGGAAACAAGAAAGUGCUCAGUGAUAUAUCGCCGUAAUUUUACAAUUCAGAUCAGAUGAAACAAAA
Molecule: long non-coding RNA, 4011 nt
Organism: Oreochromis niloticus (Nile tilapia)
Lineage: Eukaryota; Metazoa; Chordata; Actinopteri; Cichliformes; Cichlidae
Exons: 2
Source: RefSeq, a predicted model, not a curated record